UGGGGAAUAUUGCACAAUGGAGGGAACUCUGAUGCAGCGACGCCGCGUGAACGAAGAAGGCUUUCGAGUCGUAAAGUUCUUUUAUAUGGGAAGAUAAUGACGGUACCAUAAGAAAAAGCCCCGGCUAACUACGUGCCAGCAGCCGCGGUAAUACGUAGGGGGCAAGCGUUGUCCGGAAUUAUUGGGCGUAAAGCGCGCGCAGGCGGCUUCCUAAGUCCAUCUUAAAAGUGCGGGGCUUAACCCCGUGAUGGGAUGGAAACUGGGAAGCUAGAGUAUCGGAGAGGAAAGUGGAAUUCCUAGUGUAGCGGUGAAAUGCGUAGAGAUUAGGAAGAACACCGGUGGCGAAGGCGACUUUCUGGACGAAAACUGACGCUGAGGCGCGAAAGCGUGGGGAGCAAACAGG
This 403-nucleotide ribosomal RNA is filed under the name Fusobacteriota bacterium. Its description in RNAcentral is "Fusobacteria bacterium partial 16S ribosomal RNA". It matches the Rfam family "Bacterial small subunit ribosomal RNA", at positions 355 to 776 of the family's 1533-position model. Lineage: Bacteria; Fusobacteriati; Fusobacteriota. The record is from RNAcentral.